Molecule: ribosomal RNA, 492 nt
Filed under: uncultured bacterium
Lineage: Bacteria
Description: partial 16S ribosomal RNA
Rfam family: Bacterial small subunit ribosomal RNA
Source: RNAcentral
AGUGAACGCUGGCGGUAGGCCUAAUACAUGCAAGUCGAACGGCAGCACAGUAAGAGCUUGCUCUUACGGGUGGCGAGUGGCGGACGGGUGAGGAAUACAUCGGAAUCUACUUUUUCGUGGGGGAUAACGUAGGGAAACCUACGCUAAUACCGCAUAAGACCUACGGGUGAAAGCAGGGGAUCUUCGGACCUUGCGCGAUUGAAUGAGCCGAUGUCGGAUUAGCUAGUUGGCGGGGUAAAGGCCCACCAAGGCGACGAUCCGUAGCUGGUCUGAGAGGAUGAUCAGCCACACUGGAACUGAGACACGGUCCAGACUCCUACGGGAGGCAGCAGUGGGGAAUAUUGGACAAUGGGCGCAAGCCUGAUCCAGCCAUACCGCGUGGGUGAAGAAGGCCUUCGGGUUGUAAAGCCCUUUUGUUGGGAAAGAAAAGCAGCAGGUUAAUACCCCGCUGUUCUGACGGUACCCAAAGAAUAAGCACCGGCUAACUUCGUG